AAAAUUUUGUAUGUGAUAAUUCAUAUUCUGAAUGAAUGAAGCGGGUAGCGUGCUACCUUUUUCUCAAAAAAAAAAUUUGUAUGUGAUCAUUGUAAUGUAAAUUGAUUCUAAAAUAUAUAUUAAAAAUAAAAUUUAUAUUGUACAAUAAAUUAUUUAAUAUAAAUAUUUUAUAUUUAUAUAUUUUAUAUUAUAUUCUAUUUUAU
This 203-nucleotide long non-coding RNA is filed under the name Ananas comosus (pineapple). Its description in RNAcentral is "long non-coding RNA (ACOM_LNC019205)". Lineage: Eukaryota; Viridiplantae; Streptophyta; Magnoliopsida; Poales; Bromeliaceae. The record is from RNAcentral.